This 117-nucleotide non-coding RNA is filed under the name Priestia koreensis. Its description in RNAcentral is "Bacillus koreensis SAM-I sequence". It matches the Rfam family "SAM riboswitch aptamer (S box leader)". Rfam says of the family: The SAM riboswitch is found upstream of a number of genes which code for proteins involved in methionine or cysteine biosynthesis in Gram-positive bacteria. The SAM riboswitch acts at the level of transcription termination control. The record is from Rfam by way of RNAcentral. Lineage: Bacteria; Bacillati; Bacillota; Bacilli; Caryophanales; Bacillaceae.
CUCUUAUCGUGAGAGGUGGAGGGACUGGGCCCUGUGAAACCCGGCAACCGUCAGUGAAGACUGAAAUGGUGCCAAUUCCUACAAAGCAUGCAAGUAUGGUGCUUUGAAAGAUGAGAG